CGUAUGAUUAUUCCACUGUAAAACAGUUGGUUACUUAUUUUAUUACCACCUAUCGAGUUUUGUUGACGUUGGUGAGCCAUCUCCGGUAAAGUCAAAACAAUACGUCGGCUGUGCCUUUAUAAUAUAGAGUAAGUAUCUUUGAAUACCUAUUAUGGCGAUUGUUAAUUACAUAAAAAUAAUAUUUUUUGUCAAAUUUUGAAGAGCGUCACCGGCAAUUUGUUUUCCAAUGCAUCUACAAAAUAGCGUCCGCGGUAAAGUUUGAAAUCGAUCGAACAUAAUUGACACGUGGCGAUUAAAGCUCAACAAUUUUAAUGGAAAAACGUAAAAUUUCAUA
Non-coding RNA from Cinara cedri, 334 nucleotides. The record is from the annotation of a GenBank genome assembly. Lineage: Eukaryota; Metazoa; Arthropoda; Insecta; Hemiptera; Aphididae.